Molecule: long non-coding RNA, 1712 nt
Filed under: Marmota monax (woodchuck)
Lineage: Eukaryota; Metazoa; Chordata; Mammalia; Rodentia; Sciuridae
Source: RNAcentral
GUGGAGUUAGACAUGAUGGUGGAAUGUGAUCAUUAGGAUCCAAAGUACAUGUAUGAAGACACAAAUUGGUGUGAAUAUACUUUGUAUACAACCAGAGAUAGGAAAAAAUGUGCUUUAUAUGUGAAAUAAGAAUUGUAAUGCAUUCCACUGUCAUACAUAAAUUAAAAAUUAUUUUAAAAAAUAAAGUAGGCUCUGAUUUUAAAAAAAAAUCCAAGAAAAUGCAGCUAUGAAAAAUAAGUGGUCUUUAAAUCUUAAAAAAAAUCUUAAAAAUUUGACACUUAUUUACAAAUAUAGUGUGAGAACGAUGAUUUCACUUCUGGCCAAAAGACAGCACAGUAUUUUCAUUUAAUAAAAUAUUUUUAUCCUAAUGACAUUCUUCAUAGAAUGAGAAAAAGCAAUCAUGAAAUUCAUUUGGAAAAACAAGAGACCCAGAAUAGCCAAAGAAAUCCUUAGCAAGAAGAGUGAAGCAGGAGGCAUCACAAUACCAGACCUUAAACUAUACGGUAAGUGCCAUAGUAACAAAAAUGUUAUGGUAUUGGCACCGAAAUAGACAUGCAGACCCAAAGGUACAGAAUAGAGGACAAAGACAAACCCACAUGAAUACAGUUAUCUCACACUAGACAAAGGUGCCAAAAGCAUUCACUGGAGAAAAGACAGCCUCUUCAACAAAUGGUGCUGGGAAAACUGGAAACCCAUAUGUAGCUAAUGAAAUCAGACCUCUCUCUCUCACCCUGCACAAAACUCAACUCAAACUGGAUCAAAGACUUAGGCACUAGAACAGAGACGCUGCGCCUAAUAGAAGAAAAAGUGGGCCCAUCUUUCCCCCAUGUCAGCUUAGGAACUGACUUCCUCAACAAGACUCCUAAAGUGCAAGAAGUGAAAUCAAGAAUCAUUAAAUGGGAUGGGCUCAAACUAGAAAGCUUCUUCUCAGCAAAGGAAACAGUCAAUGUGAAGAGAGAGCCCACAGAGUGGGAGCAACUCUCUACCACAUGCACAUCAAAUAGAGCACUAAUCUCCAGGAUAUAUAAAGAACUCCAAAAACUUAACACACACACACACACACACACACAAAAAAAAAAAAAACAAUCAAUAAAUGGGCUAAGGACCUGAACAGACACUUCACAGAAGAAAUACAAUUGAUCAACAAAUAUAUGAAAAAGUAUUCAUCAUUUCUAGCAAUUAGAGAAGUGCAAAUCAAAACCACUCUAGAUUUCAUCUCAGUCCUGGCAGAAUGGCAAUCAUCAAGAAUACAGGAAGCAAUAAGUGUUAGUGGAGAUGUGGAGAAAAAGGUCCACUCACACAGUGCUGGUGGGACUGUUACGAGAAAAAGCCAACACUGGUCCCACCACCACGGAAAGCAGUAUGGAGAUUUCUCAGAAAAGUUGGAAUGGAACCACCAUUUGGCCCAGCUAUCCCACUCCUUGGUCUGUACCCAAAGAACUUAAAAUCAGCAUAUUACAGGGUCACAGCCACAUCAAUGUUUGUAGCAGCUCAACUCACAUUAGCUAAACUAUGGAACCUACCUAGGUGCUCUUCCACAGAUGAAUGGACAAAGAAAAUGUGGUACAUGCACACAAUGGAAUAUUACUCAGCCUUAAUGAAGAAUGAAAUUAUGGCAUUUGCAGGUAAAUGGAUGGAGCUAGAGGAUAUCAUGAUAAGUGAAAUCAGCCAAACCCCGAAAACCAAAGGCUGAAUGUUUUCUCUGAUAAGAG